CUGUGCAAAACCAGCAGGCCCACUGCUUCAGCUCUCUCAGUGACAACAGGGGACAACAAUUAACAGAUCUGUGCAACCACACUAAAAUAGUAGUAACGGCUCAAGGAAGAAGAAGGAUUCUGAAGAUUCUGUUCCUGUUGAUACUCUGUCUGCAAGACUUCACUGGUCAAUGCCAAGUGUGGUGUGAUAACAUUACUUGUUGUGAGAGUCUCCUUAACCCCGGCAGAGCUGAAAUGGAAGUGCGUCUGACCAGUCCCACUAUGGAGAAGCCAGAGGAGUAUCAGCAAAGGAUUAUGGGAGAAAUAGUCCAGAGCCAAAUGCAGGGAUACUACAAAAAUAAACUGGUCAGAGCUGCACAGAGCGAUCCUGUUUUCCUGAAACCUACAGUGGUGCGGUCCAAUGAGGUGGAGGAGAGGGAGCGCUACAGAUUCCAGUGGAGGAAGGAGGACAGGCAAAGAAUCGUCGGUGACAGAUUGGAGCUCUUCGUCGCCAUAGUGACAGGGUUGUUGAUGGGGGUCCUGACAGGUGGUUUUGGGGGUGUUGUCAUGGGAGGGUUGACGGGGGCGGUGAUAUGGUUUACAACAGGACUGGUCAGGAACUGGUGGAGCCCCUGACUCACUAGGAGGCACCAUGUGUAGGCUAUGAAUCUAUUUUUUAUAAAGACAUUGGGAGGAUAAAACUAUUCUAAUGUGUAUAGAUGGAAGGACUU
Molecule: long non-coding RNA, 709 nt
Organism: Coregonus clupeaformis (lake whitefish)
Lineage: Eukaryota; Metazoa; Chordata; Actinopteri; Salmoniformes; Salmonidae
Exons: 5
Source: RefSeq, a predicted model, not a curated record